UCCGGUUGAUCCUGCCGGAGGCACCGCUUUUGGAGUUCGAUUAAGCCAUGCGAGUCGAGAGCCUUAGGGGCUCGGCAUACUGCUCAGUAACACGUGGAUAACCUGCCCUAUUGUCUGGAAUAACCUCGGGGAACUGAGAACAAGGCCGGAUAGCCCACAAUGCCUGGAACGGUUUGUGGGUGAAGAUAGGAUGGGUCUGCGGCGUAUCAGGUUGUAGGGGAGUGUAAUGGAACUCCUAGCCAUCGACGCGUACGGGUGUUGGGAGACAUAGCCCGGAGAUGGAUUCUGAGACACGAAUCCAGACCCUACGGGGUGCAGCAGGCGCGAAAACUUCACACUGAAGGAAACUGUGAUGAGGGAACUCCAAGUGCUAUCACUAUGUGGUAGCUUUUCUUGACUAUUAAUCGGUCAUGGAAUAAGGGCUGGGAAAGAACGGUGCCAGACACGCGAUAAUACCGGCAGCUCAAGUGGUCGAAGCUUAAAUUGGGCCUAAAACGUACGUAGACUGUUAGGUAAAUCUGUGGGUAAAUCAACCAACUAUAAAUGG
Molecule: ribosomal RNA, 547 nt
Filed under: uncultured euryarchaeote
Lineage: Archaea; Methanobacteriati; Methanobacteriota
Description: bacterial SSU rRNA
Rfam family: Archaeal small subunit ribosomal RNA
Source: RNAcentral